AUGCAUGCACCGUCAGGACCCGUCCCACACUGUGUUACCUCAUCAUUCAUCAGAUCUGGGAAAGCCUUUGCUGGCUCCUCGGCUCUGCUAGCUUCUUGGGGGCACCUCAAUCUCAGCAAGUUGCUCUUGCUCCACCAACCAUGGCGCUCGUGUCUCGUCUCGUCUCAGCAAGCACGGCAAGGGCGACAUUUGGAGGCGGUCGCUUGCCGACGUGCUAGCUUCUUGGUGAUCUUUCCUGGGAGCUCCUUGGUGUUGGAUCUGACGGCAAGGGUGCCUUACUCAGCUAUGCUUCUUGUACUAAGUUUUCUUCCUAAAAGAUCCACACAUUAA
Molecule: ribosomal RNA, 330 nt
Filed under: Triticum aestivum (bread wheat)
Lineage: Eukaryota; Viridiplantae; Streptophyta; Magnoliopsida; Poales; Poaceae
Description: partial small subunit ribosomal RNA
Source: RNAcentral